CCAGACUCCUACGGGAGGCAGCAGUGGGGGAUAUUGCACAAUGGGGGGAACCCUGAUGCAGCGACGCCGCGUGGGUGAAGAAGCGCCUCGGCGCGUAAAGCCCUGUCAGCAGGGAAGAAAAUGACGGUACCUGAAGAAGAAGCCCCGGCUAACUACGUGCCAGCAGCCGCGGUAAUACGUAGGGGGCAAGCGUUAUCCGGGUUUACUGGGUGUAAAGGGGGCGCAGACGGCGGCGCAAGCCAGGAGUGAAAGCCCGGGGCCCAGCCCCGGGACUGCUCUUGGAACUGCGCGGCUGGAGUGAAGGAGGGGCAGGCGGAAGUCCUGGUGUAGCGGUGAAAUGCAUAGAUAUCACGCAGAACUCCGAUUGGGAAGGCAGCAUACCGGCGCCCGA
RNAcentral lists this ribosomal RNA (391 nucleotides) under uncultured bacterium. Its description in RNAcentral is "partial 16S ribosomal RNA". It matches the Rfam family "Bacterial small subunit ribosomal RNA", at positions 331 to 739 of the family's 1533-position model. The record is from RNAcentral.